UACAACCUGAACUCAGACGUGAU
RNAcentral lists this ribosomal RNA (23 nucleotides) under Angiostrongylus vasorum (French heartworm). RNAcentral describes it as "partial 28S ribosomal RNA". The record is from RNAcentral. Lineage: Eukaryota; Metazoa; Nematoda; Chromadorea; Rhabditida; Metastrongylidae.